UACGUAGGGAGCAAGCGUUUGUUCGGAUUUACUGGGCGUAAAGGGCGCGUAGGCGGCAAAUUAAGUCAGCUGUGAAAUCUCCGAGCUUAACUCGGAACGGUCAGCUGAUACUGAUCUGCUAGAGUGCGGAAGGGGCAAUCGGAAUUCUUGGUGUAGCGGUGAAAUGCGCAGAUAUCAAGAGGAACACCUGAGGUGAAGACGGGUUGCUGGGCCGACACUGACGCUGAGGCACGAAAGCGUGGGGAGCAAACAGG
Molecule: ribosomal RNA, 254 nt
Filed under: uncultured bacterium
Lineage: Bacteria
Description: partial 16S ribosomal RNA
Rfam family: Bacterial small subunit ribosomal RNA
Source: RNAcentral